CGUCAAGUCAUCAUGGCCCUUAUGUCCAGGGCUACACACGUGCUACAAUGGUUGGUACAAAGUGAAGCGAAACCGCGAGGUUAGAGCGAAGCACGAAAGCCAACCGUAGUUCGGAUUGAAGUCUGAAACCCGACUUCAUGAAGUUGGAAUCGCUAGUAAUCGCGCAUCAGCAUGGCGCGGUGAAUACGUUCCCGGGCCUU
RNAcentral lists this ribosomal RNA (200 nucleotides) under uncultured prokaryote. RNAcentral describes it as "partial 16S ribosomal RNA". It matches the Rfam family "Bacterial small subunit ribosomal RNA", at positions 1183 to 1382 of the family's 1533-position model. The record is from RNAcentral.